CUGGGGCCGUCACCUUCCGUUGGACCAGAGGUUCCUUGCACUCCUGUAAACGACGAUCGUUCAAUUUUUAUACCUAUUAUGUAUCAGAGAAUGCAGAUUGGAAAUUGGAAAGAUUUUAAGGCUGAAAAUUUUUAGGAGCGUGACCCCUUUAUAUCCAGAAUUGCGAUCUGCAGACCACACAUCAAAGCGAUCAAAGGUUAUCGCACGUUAAGAACUUCUCAAUGCGCCGUACAAAAUCGAUUCGAAGUCAGCGCGCGCGAAAAUCACCGGUGAAAAUCGGUAUGCUCGACGCGCAAAGGAGACGAUAGGUCUGAAGAUAACGAGCGGCAUGCCCCAGAGGUACGAAUUUCGCGGGAAAGAGGACGCGACCACGGGGCUCCUGCAACUUUUCACGAUUAUAAUGGCAGAUGCAGGGUACGAACGAGGCCCUCCAUUUAACGUGGAGUGGUCUGACCAGUUAAUCGGUUAUUCACCGGUACACCGCGGCAUGGUACGAAGACAAACUCGAGGAUCGUGCCACGGCAUCUAUUCGACUGAUCGUAAGCGCAGGAGCCGACCACGGGGACGAGCAUGGGGGCGAGAGGGGGAGAAGAAUUUAAUGAGAUAGCGAGAGAGAAAAAUUCUGGUCGGCGGUGGAGGAGGGAGGUGCUCUUCAGCCACCUCGGCAAAGAGAGGAAGUUGGAGUGGCCACUCAGCAACAAAGGGACUAAGAGGGUGGGAAAAGCUCGAGGGACCCGUUUCCUCAUUAUAUA
Long non-coding RNA from Eufriesea mexicana, 752 nucleotides. RefSeq lists it as uncharacterized. NCBI's taxonomy places the organism in Eukaryota, Metazoa, Arthropoda, Insecta, Hymenoptera, Apidae. The transcript is spliced from 3 exons. The record is from RefSeq and is a predicted model, not a curated record.